Molecule: long non-coding RNA, 2352 nt
Organism: Cydia pomonella (codling moth)
Lineage: Eukaryota; Metazoa; Arthropoda; Insecta; Lepidoptera; Tortricidae
Exons: 2
Source: RefSeq, a predicted model, not a curated record
AGCCGGUAGUCCACGUGCUACUUGUAAAGUUCAUGUUAUCGCUUUAUAAGCGCUAAUAAAAGCACCGUACACUGUCUUGUACUAACCGUACAAAUUUAGUCGCAUUUAAAGCUCCUAAUACCUCUCUGGCGAAAUUGUCCCAAUGGACUGAAGCAAUUUAAUUUUGGUCAAAUAUUGGUCAAAAUAACUCUUUAUAUUGGUUCAGCGCAUGUAUAGGUAUCGUAGUUGUCGUUUGUGUAUAUACUACAUACAUAUAUGUUAACUAUAUUUAAAAACUAGGGCUCUACAAGUCUACACCUUUCCUAAUAUUAUCCUAAGGGUAAUCGAAUGUGCGACACGUUCCAUUCCCAGCUGUAGGUGUACAAAUAUUAUUUUCUAUACGAAUCUCUAAAAGUAUUACUCGAACACUAAUCUGGCAUUCGAUUAACAAUAUUGUGUAAAUGAUACGUGAUGCGAAAGAUAAGCUCAGAAGUUUUCCCAACUUCGAAAAGACAUAAAUCAGGUCUCUUUUGGAAUAAGGAAAAAGUAAGUUGAAUAUUCGAUAUUACUUAAAUAGAUACUUUAAGUACAGUAAACCACGUGUACUUAGCAGAAACGUUUAAAUUCCCAUAAACGUUUAAAUGCAGCCAUGUCUUCAAAAGACAACUAUAAUAUAAUAAGUUAGCCAUAUAGGCACAGAUUUGUUCGGCCGUCCGCUGGUCACGUCUCAUAGGGCCUACCGCGAACCACGUUCUUGUAAAUUCGUACGUAAAUGUGACAGGGAGGCAACAUGUCUGACGUGGUUCGCGGUAGGCCCACAGAUCUGAUCCGCGACUACGCCACACACGGCAAUGGACAUCACUACAUCAGUUGUCAUCGGGAUUUAACUAGUAACGGUUGUCUCCAACAAUGUCUCUUUGGAAGUAAUCCUAUGAAUAAGUCCAAAGAGACGUCUGAUAAUUAGCUUAAGAUAAUUAUAUGUAAUACUGUCUUACUAUUUAUAAGGGCUUGUUGCUAGGCCUACAUUAAUAAAUUAUAUUUGAAUUGAAUUGAAUUGCUCCUGGAGCAUAUAUAAGUAUGAAACGUUAUAGGUUUUAUGUUUUAGGAAAAAAUGGGAAAACAAAUUUGCUAAGUAAAAAUACCCUGUUAAUAAGAUAAUUAAAUGAGACUUCAUAGAACGGAUUCCAGUACUACUUUUUACCUAACACUUAACUGGCCACUUCACGUUGAUAAAUCACAUGACACGUUGACACUUCUAUGACAUUUAAGAGAAACAAUUAUUGACAUGACGAUAAAGUUAUUGUUGUAAUGUAAAUUAUCAUCUCUUAAAAUAUUGGUAUCUAAUUUGUUAGUACCUUCUAUACAUACUAAUAAAAUUACUCGCACUGUCAAGAAUGUGAGGUUAGUUACCGUAAACUAUGCCAAGUUUGCUCCCCACUGUGUAAUUGUGCUCCAACAGUUUUUAUAUGCACAUUAAUACUGUACCACAACCUCAUUCUGAUGAACAAACCACAAUAUAAUAAUUUUGGAGCAAUGUAGGCAUAUUUAACGGUAUUGUUAUUCGUGCUAACCCAUAUAAUAAGUAACAUUAAAAUGUAGGAUAAAUUCCUUGUUCUAGUUGGCGAAAUCGACACAUAAUCUUAUAUCGUUUCCGUCAUUCUCGCGUGGCUGAACAUCCCUUAGAUGUCCCGUUUACCUAAACCUUCGCGGUUGAUUGUCUAUACAGUUGAAGUAACGAAGGAGUUGAGUGAAAAUUACGAUGCGUCAAUAAUAUCUUCUUGCUUGCAGUUGGAUCGUCUGUUUCAGGUUAGCAUGGGAAUCGAGUAAUAUGUAGGUGGGGGCCACUGAUACCUAAUUUACUGAAACGGUAGUUUUUGUUACGACUACUGCUUCAGCGCUAAUCACAACAUGUUGUCGUCUUGCCUCUAUGAAGCAUUUCCUCUACAUAGCGGGAAACCUAUGUUAUCUGCUACGACGUAGCGCUAUGCCAAAAGUGUAAUGUCAGUGACGUAGUAAAGCUGGAAAGGUCAUAGUGGGCUAGAAACGUUUAACAGUACCUACUUACUUGCAGGAGUUCUAUAAUAAAAAUUGUGUGUUUUAAAGUGGCAAAUAAAACACAGCUAUAAUUUUUUUUACUCAUCCUUUAUUUGAAACGGCAAACGUCCAAGUCAAUAUCAAACGAAAAUUACUUCAGACUUAAAGCAAUUCCAGUUCAGAAGUUGAGUGAUUAAAACUUGUAGAAGUAAACAAAUUACUAGCCUUCAAACAGAGCGACAUCUAAGGGUUUCUGUGCCACUACAGCCCAUGUUAUAUUCACGUAGAUAUAGAUAGAUAAAGAUUACCGAAGAAAAAAUAUAUAAAAUUGUGCAGAAA